GUGUCUAGAGACUCUCCAGAGGUAGGGUUUCAGGUGUCUAGAGACUCUCCAGAGGUAGGGUUUCAGGUGUCUAGAGACUCUCCAGAGGUAGGGUUUCAGGUGUCUAGAGACUCCAGAGGUAGGGUUUCAGGUGUCUAGAGACUCUCCAGAGGUAGGGUUUCAGGUGUCUAGAGACUCUCCAGAGGUAGGGUUUCAGGUGUCUAGAGACUCUCCAGAGGUAGGGUUUCAGGUGUCUAGAGACUCUCCAGAGGUAGGGUUUCAGGUGUCUAGAGACUCUCCAGAGGUAGGGUUUCAGGUGUUUAGAGACUCUCCAGAGGUAGGGUUUCAGGUGUCUAGAGACUCUCCAGAGGUAGGGUUUCAGGUGUAUAGAGACUCUCCAGAGGUAGGGUUUCAGGUGUCUAGAGACUCUCCAGAGGUAGGGUUUCAGGUGUCUAGAGACUCUCCAGAGGUAGGGUUUCAGGUGUCUAGAGACUCUCCAGAGGUAGGGUUUCAGGUGUUUAGAGACUCUCCAGAGGUAGGGUUUCAGGUGUCUAGAGACUCCAGAGGUAGGGUUUCAGGUGUCUAGAGACUCUCCAGAGGUAGGGUUUCAGGUGUCUAGAGACUCUCCAGAGGUAGGGUUUCAGGUGUCUAGAGACUCCAGAGGUAGGGUUUCAGGUGUUUAGGAAAGAUGAGCAGGGACUCUGCUGUCCUGACUUCAGGGGGAAGCUGGUUCCACCAUUGGGGUGCCAGGACAGAGUAGAGCUUGGACUGGGCUGAGUGGACAUUGGGGUGCCAGGACAGAGAAGAGCUUGGACUGGGCUGAGUGGACAUUGGGGUGCCAGGACAGAGAAUAGCUUGGACUGGGCUGAGUGAACAUUGGUGUGCCAGGACAGAGAAUAGCUUGGACUGGGCUGAGUGAACAUUGGUGUGC
RNAcentral lists this long non-coding RNA (910 nucleotides) under Salmo salar (Atlantic salmon). Its description in RNAcentral is "lncRNA (ENSSSAG00000096459.1)". Lineage: Eukaryota; Metazoa; Chordata; Actinopteri; Salmoniformes; Salmonidae. The record is from RNAcentral.